UCACACCAGAAUAAAAGUCUCCCUGGGAAGGUCUCUGCUUGGAGUCCCAUGUGCCCUGGGCGGCCCCGCUGCUCGGGCGUAAGGCAGGAGCCUCCUCUCCCACUCCUGGGGGUCCUCUCCACUCGUCACUCUGUCCACGGUUUCUCAAAGUGCAGCUCAGGGACCUACGUCAGAAUCAGGACGGUGCUUCGCAACGCUGACCCGGAGCUCCUCUGCUCGCCCCUCCUCACCGGAGGGUCAGUGGGCGGGAUGGCCUGGGAUGCCGCCCUUUAUCACCCAGCACCCCCAACCGCCACCCGGUGCACAGAGGCUGGGGCUGCCCCGGCUUCUCCCGCUGGUCUUCCGAUUCCUCCGCACUCAGCACAUCGUAGCUUCAGCAUUUCCCGUGGACGACCUUUGCUUGUGGCUCGUUUUCCUAACUCAGCAGUAGGCCUUCGAGACCGGGGGCCAUUUCUCAUGGCUCCAUGGAGACCCGUCUGACCAGCAGAUGUCCAGUAAAUGUCUUCCAUGCAGAUAAGGACACUGAGACAUUCUGAUCCCAGGCAGUCUAGCUCCAGCAACUGUGGUUUCCCCGGCUUGCAGCCUCUCGAAGACCUUAGCCCCUGGCGAUGUCAGUUUGGAACCUAAGAGCCCAGACGCCACUGCUGCAAAGAAGACGCAUCAGCACUUGUGACUGGAGUGUAUUCUCGCCAACCCCUCCCCCAAGCCUACACCCCAAACCUGUUUGUCCUCUGUGCUCCCCGUCUCAUCACAGCACCAUUCGCCUAAUCACCAAGCCAUAAAUCGCCAACCCCUCCCUACCUGUCACCCCCACCAUCUCAUCCGUCACUCGCCCUGACAGUUCCAGCACCAGGUCCCUCCUUGGCCAGUCUCCAAUCCUCCGUAGACAUAGUCACUGCCCAGCUCAGGCCCUCGUCACCUCCUACCCGGUGGGUUGCAAACACUCUCUCCUUUCCAAGCCAUUUGUCAUUCCUUUGCCAGUUAUUCUCCAAAAAGUAGAUCUAGUGACACUGUGAGGCUCUAAAUCCUCCAGUGGUUCCUUGCUGCCUACAGCGGAUGGCUUGGCCAGGGAGGUCCAUUAGAGGGUGGCUCCUACACUUUUCCUGUCACCUGCCCUAUCCCCCUGUUCCCUUGAUCUCGGGCAAGGGGGUCCUGAACAAGCCGUGACAUCUCACACCUCAGGGCCUUUGCUCAUGCUGUAUUCUCUGUCCGAAAUGCCCUUCCUCUUCUCAGACGAGCACACAGUCUGCUUGUCAUCGUGCUGGGAUGACAUCUCCACUUUCCCCACCUCAGCACCCCUGGUGGAACCCAUCGUCCCCUAAGCGUACAGCGCACGGCCUACUGGGGCACUGACAACUGUCAUGUGCCUGGUCUCCAGCUCGAGCACCUUGGGUGCUGGACCGUGCUCAGCUGUGCGUGUCCACCCAAGGGCUGGGUGGGAGAUUGUGAGGUUAAGAAACAUGAAAUCUUAUGUGAAAAAUAGAGUUCACAAAGAUAAAAUUAUGUGAGCUACAUACCGAAGAAGGGCAUCUAGGACAUUUUACACGACUAAUCUGUGCUGAUGAGGUUCGUGCCAUUCCUGACCCUUACCACGCGUGCCCCAUCAGAAACUGCAGGGUCUCUUCCAUGCAUCUUCAGUGAGGCGCCUGUACAUUUGCUUCGCUUUAUGGAAGAUCACAUACGUACUAAGAGCCGUUUUCUGUGUUUUGCCUCGUCUUCCAUCUACAUGUUAAAAGUCCUCUAAUGUCCUGUCUCAGUCACUGUCCUCAUCUGCUAAUCCCCACGGAGUGGCCCACUUGAAGUUCUGUAACGCGUUGAGGCUUUAGUAAAAGGAUUGAAGGAUAA
Pteropus alecto (black flying fox) is the source of this 1845-nucleotide long non-coding RNA. RefSeq lists it as uncharacterized. The transcript is spliced from 2 exons. The record is from RefSeq and is a predicted model, not a curated record. Lineage: Eukaryota; Metazoa; Chordata; Mammalia; Chiroptera; Pteropodidae.